Molecule: ribosomal RNA, 1339 nt
Filed under: Bifidobacterium breve
Lineage: Bacteria; Bacillati; Actinomycetota; Actinomycetes; Bifidobacteriales; Bifidobacteriaceae
Description: bacterial SSU rRNA
Rfam family: Bacterial small subunit ribosomal RNA
Source: RNAcentral
UAUUAUGAGAGUUUGAUCCUGGCUCAGGACGAACGCUGGCGGCGUGCCUAAUACAUGCAAGUCGAACGCUUCUUUCCUCCCGAGUGCUUGCACUCAAUUGGAAAGAGGAGUGGCGGACGGGUGAGUAACACGUGGGUAACCUACCCAUCAGAGGGGGAUAACACUUGGAAACAGGUGCUAAUACCGCAUAACAGUUUAUGCCGCAUGGCAUAAGAGUGAAAGGCGCUUUCGGGUGUCGCUGAUGGAUGGACCCGCGGUGCAUUAGCUAGUUGGUGAGGUAACGGCUCACCAAGGCCACGAUGCAUAGCCGACCUGAGAGGGUGAUCGGCCACACUGGGACUGAGACACGGCCCAGACUCCUACGGGAGGCAGCAGUAGGGAAUCUUCGGCAAUGGACGAAAGUCUGACCGAGCAACGCCGCGUGAGUGAAGAAGGUUUUCGGAUCGUAAAACUCUGUUGUUAGAGAAGAACAAGGACGUUAGUAACUGAACGUCCCCUGACGGUAUCUAACCAGAAAGCCACGGCUAACUACGUGCCAGCAGCCGCGGUAAUACGUAGGUGGCAAGCGUUGUCCGGAUUUAUUGGGCGUAAAGCGAGCGCAGGCGGUUUCUUAAGUCUGAUGUGAAAGCCCCCGGCUCAACCGGGGAGGGUCAUUGGAAACUGGGAGACUUGAGUGCAGAAGAGGAGAGUGGAAUUCCAUGUGUAGCGGUGAAAUGCGUAGAUAUAUGGAGGAACACCAGUGGCGAAGGCGGCUCUCUGGUCUGUAACUGACGCUGAGGCUCGAAAGCGUGGGGAGCAAACAGGAUAGGUUGAAACUCAAAGGAAUUGACGGGGGCCCGCACAAGCGGUGGAGCAUGUGGUUUAAUUCGAAGCAACGCGAAGAACCUUACCAGGUCUUGACAUCCUUUGACCACUCUAGAGAUAGAGCUUUCCCUUCGGGGACAAAGUGACAGGUGGUGCAUGGUUGUCGUCAGCUCGUGUCGUGAGAUGUUGGGUUAAGUCCCGCAACGAGCGCAACCCUUAUUGUUAGUUGCCAUCAUUUAGUUGGGCACUCUAGCGAGACUGCCGGUGACAAACCGGAGGAAGGUGGGGAUGACGUCAAAUCAUCAUGCCCCUUAUGACCUGGGCUACACACGUGCUACAAUGGGAAGUACAACGAGUCGCUAGACCGCGAGGUCAUGCAAAUCUCUUAAAGCUUCUCUCAGUUCGGAUUGCAGGCUGCAACUCGCCUGCAUGAAGCCGGAAUCGCUAGUAAUCGCGGAUCAGCACGCCGCGGUGAAUACGUUCCCGGGCCUUGUACACACCGCCCGUCACACCACGAGAGUUUGUAACACCCGAA